GCCCUCGUAGCUCAAUGGAUAGAGCUCUUGUCUUCGGAACAAGCGGUUGGCGGUUCGAGCCCGUCCGAGGGCG
Molecule: transfer RNA, 73 nt
Filed under: Chloroflexota bacterium
Lineage: Bacteria; Bacillati; Chloroflexota
Description: Chloroflexi bacterium tRNA-Arg
Rfam family: tRNA
About the family: Transfer RNA (tRNA) molecules are approximately 80 nucleotides in length. Their secondary structure includes four short double-helical elements and three loops (D, anti-codon, and T loops).
Source: RNAcentral